This 212-nucleotide long non-coding RNA is filed under the name Mytilus galloprovincialis (Mediterranean mussel). The record is from RNAcentral. Lineage: Eukaryota; Metazoa; Mollusca; Bivalvia; Mytilida; Mytilidae.
UGCAAUUAGUAUACAUUUGCCGAUACUUCUAUUUUUAUCUCUCAAUACAUUGAAGUACAAUAGGGACAUGCUUAUACAAAUAAGUAGACGUGGUAUGAUUACCAAUGAGACAAAUCUCAAUCAGAAACCAAAUGGCUAAACGACUAUAGUACAUCGGACGGCCUUCAACAAUGAGUAAAACCCAUACUGCAUAGUAAGCUAUGAAAGGCCCC